GUCUGGGCAUACACUCCCUUGGUGAAGUUUGACAGAAGGAAAGUUAUGAAGCUGUAGAAGUAGAUCCUUCUUGAUCAUUUACAAGUAACUAAAUAUAAAUUACAUUAUAUUUUUAAAUACAUAUCCUCUUUUUAUUUAUUUUAUAUUUAAUUUGAUAAUUACUUAAUUUUUAUUUUUUAAAUUUUAUAUGUUGUACAUUAUUUGUGCAGUAUGACUUUGAUAUCAAGGAGAUCGAUACCUUGCGCAUGCUGGCAGCUAUCCUUAAGCAUAUGGGGAGGUUGCUUAAGGGGUUUAGGUUUGAGCUCCAUAGCCAUUGGAAGAAGGUCUCCAACGCAUGUGGGGCGGUGGCGACACGUGAGACACCCAACAAGAAUGUUUCAUGC
This 383-nucleotide long non-coding RNA is filed under the name Elaeis guineensis (African oil palm). RNAcentral describes it as "long non-coding RNA (EGUI_LNC004741)". The record is from RNAcentral. Lineage: Eukaryota; Viridiplantae; Streptophyta; Magnoliopsida; Arecales; Arecaceae.